This 768-nucleotide long non-coding RNA is filed under the name Theobroma cacao (cacao). Its description in RNAcentral is "long non-coding RNA (TCAC_LNC000996)". The record is from RNAcentral. Lineage: Eukaryota; Viridiplantae; Streptophyta; Magnoliopsida; Malvales; Malvaceae.
CAUUCACUGUUGAUAACUUGAGUAUUGUCAAUGUGUUCAAUUUAAUUUGCAACGUGGCGUGAGUGGAUUUUCCCAAUGGCAGUGAAUACCCCUUGGAUUUUAUACGGCUAGAAUCUCGAUGUAGAAAAAAAUGCCUUUUGCUGCUAUGAGAGUCAAUCUAUUAUGUUUGACUUACUUGAAGUUUACAAAAGCUUUCACUUCUGAACUUCUUUGUUGUUCAUGAGUCUUUCGUUAUUAAGUGAUUAAAAGAUCAAGAUUUGAAAUGAGGGUUUUUAAUAAGGGUUAAGCUAAACUGUAUUGUUUUGAACUUAAAUGCAUCAUGAUUUUUUUAUAAAAAAAAAAACCUUCCUUAACGUUGCUUGUUCCCUUCCUAUGUUCACUCACUGAGUUUGUACUCAUGUUUUUAAAAAUUCAUCUUUUAGGUUUCCUGAGUUAAAGGUGGUUGGAUCCUAGGACGAGGUGCUCCUCCCUAUAUGUUGCUCAGUAGGUUUAACUUGCCUUUAAGUGUUAUCAAUCGUGUCCAGAGUCACUCCGCUGACGGUCGAAGUCUAAUUAUGUGUAUAUGGAUAUUUGAUGUGAAACAUUAAGGUUCAUUUGUUAUUCUAUAUAUGUAUAUAAUGGUUGAUGAAGCCAUUAUGAAUGCAUGACUGGGUUUUAUGAAUUGUUUUCAAAGGAAUUAUAAUUAAGUAUUACGAAUUUCGGAUUGUAAAGGAAUAUGGAUUAAUGUAUAAGAUCAUGUAAGUAGGCUUGCUUAGGCUUUGUGGGCUG